UACAGAGGUCCCAAGCGUUGUUCGGAUUCACUGGGCGUAAAGGGUGCGCAGGUGGGUUGGCAAGUUUGAUGUGAAAGCCCCGGGCUUAACCCGGGAAUGGCAUUGAAUACUGCUGAUCUGGAGGAUCGGAGGGGGGACUGGAAUUCUUGGUGUAGCAGUGAAAUGCGUAGAUAUCAAGAGGAACACCAGUGGCGAAGGCGAGUCCCUGGACGAUACCUGACACUGAGGCACGAAAGCGUGGGGAGCAAACAGG
RNAcentral lists this ribosomal RNA (253 nucleotides) under uncultured bacterium. RNAcentral describes it as "partial 16S ribosomal RNA". It matches the Rfam family "Bacterial small subunit ribosomal RNA", at positions 524 to 776 of the family's 1533-position model. The record is from RNAcentral.